RNAcentral lists this long non-coding RNA (997 nucleotides) under Homo sapiens (human). RNAcentral describes it as "non-protein coding NIFK-AS1:13". The record is from RNAcentral. Lineage: Eukaryota; Metazoa; Chordata; Mammalia; Primates; Hominidae.
GGCGCGGACGCUUGUGCCGGAAGUAAACUUGUUAACGGUUCUUUGCCUUUUGGGGAGGGGAGACAGCCCAGAGAAGGCUUUGGAGACCCUUGAGUCGGCCAGCGAGCAGGGUUUCUUACUUGAGCGCCUCCACAAAUAAACGCUCCUUCGCUCCUCCGUCGCGUGCGUUUCCCUGGGAUAAUAAGUGGGAAAGUGGUGGCUUUUAUUUUUUUGAGACAGGGUCUCACCGCCGUCGCCCAGGCCGGAUGGAGUGCAGUGGCGCGAUCACGGCUCACUGCAGCCUCGACUUCCCAGGCUCAGAGAUGGGUUUCACCAUGUUUCCCAGCCUUGUCUCAAACUCCUGACCUCAAGUGAUCCGCCGUCUUGGGUCUUCGAAAGUGCUGGGACAGCAGGAGUGAGCCACCGCAUCUGGCCCGGAAAGUGUUUUGGAGCGUAGAAAAAUGCAAAUUAUAGGGCUGCCUUCAAGGAUCCCGAAGGACCCACAGAUUUGCCGCAUCAGGCUCCUAUGCACGCCGGUAAUUUGAUGUGUUGAGAUGCACUGCCCAGUGCGUUGUUUUUACUGGAGGAGCUUGUGUGCGGAGCUCCUUGCUAGUGUAUGUGUUGGGAUGGGAGAGAAGUGCGGGAGAACUAUGAGAUAAUGCCCCCUGAUCCUCAGGGUCUUAGGAGGUAUGGUCGGAGAGGCUAAGCUAAAGUAUGAAAGCCGUGUGUAGGCCCUUCUGUGUAGUGCAGAAAAGGUAGAGGUAUGUGAUUUGAAAGAGUAGGGAUGACAUGGAGGAUGCGACUCCUGGUUGGAUCUAUAAACUAAUGUCUUUGGAACGAAAGCACAUGCAACCUUUUGAAAAUGGAUGGGUGAUAAUGAAAGACCAUUCCAGAGAAGAAACACCAUGGUGCAAAGGCUCAAGAGGCAUACUGGAAGUACAAUGAAGAGAGCAAUCUAACUGAAAUGGGAAAAAAAGAAACAAAGAGUAAAAAGUAAGAUUUGAUGAGAAAGAUGGAA